CCUACGGGGUGCUGCAGUGAGGAAUAUUGGUCAAUGGGCGGGAGCCUGAACCAGCCAAGUCGCGUGAGGGAAGACGGUCCUACGGAUUGUAAACCUCUUUUGCCGGGGAGCAACGGGGUCCUUGCGAGGGCCCGAUGAGAGUACCCGGAGAAAAAGCAUCGGCUAACUCCGUGCCAGCAGCCGCGGUAAUACGGAGGAUGCGAGCGUUAUCCGGAUUUAUUGGGUUUAAAGGGUGCGUAGGCGGUAUGUCAAGUCAAGGGUGAAAUCCCCGCGCUCAACGUGGGAACUGCCUUUGAAACUGGCAAACUGGAGUGUGUGAGAGGAUAGUGGAAUUCCAGGUGUAGGAGUGAAAUCCGUAGAUAUCUGGAGGAACAUCAGUGGCGAAGGCGACUAUCUGGCACAUAACUGACGCUGAGGAGCGAAAGCGUGGGUAGCAAACAGGAUUAGAUACCCCAGUAGUC
RNAcentral lists this ribosomal RNA (461 nucleotides) under uncultured bacterium. Its description in RNAcentral is "partial 16S ribosomal RNA". It matches the Rfam family "Bacterial small subunit ribosomal RNA", at positions 338 to 795 of the family's 1533-position model. The record is from RNAcentral.